RNAcentral lists this ribosomal RNA (704 nucleotides) under uncultured Actinomycetes bacterium. Its description in RNAcentral is "bacterial SSU rRNA". It matches the Rfam family "Bacterial small subunit ribosomal RNA", at positions 735 to 1440 of the family's 1533-position model. Lineage: Bacteria; Bacillati; Actinomycetota; Actinomycetes. The record is from RNAcentral.
CAAUACUGACACUGAGGAGCGAAAGCGUGGGGAGCGAACAGGAUUAGAUAGCCUGGUAGUCCACGCCGUAAACGGUGGGCGCUAGUUGUGCGAACCUUCCACGGUUUGUGCGACGCAGCUAACGCAUUAAGCGCCCCGCCUGGGGAGUACGAUCGCAAGAUUAAAACUCAAAGGAAUUGACGGGGCCCCGCACAAGCAGCGGAGCAUGCGGCUUAAUUCGACGCAACGCGAAGAACCUUACCAAGGCUUGACAUAUACAGGAAUAUGGCAGAGAUGUCAUAGCCGCAAGGUCUGUAUACAGGUGGUGCGUGGUUGUCGUCAGCUCGUGUCGUGAGAUGUUGGGUUAAGUCCCGCAACGAGCGCAACCCUCGUUCUGUGUUGCCAGCAUUAAGUUGGGGACUCACAGGAGACUGCCGGGGUUAACUCGGAGGAAGGUGGGGAUGACGUCAAAUCAUCAUGCCCCUUAUGUCUUGGGCUGCACGCAUGCUACAAUGGCUGGUACAAACGGCUGCGAUACCGCAAGGUGGAGCGAAUCCGAUAAAGCCAGUCUCAGUUCGGAUCGGGGUCUGCAACUCGACCCCAUGAAGUCGGAGUUGCUAGUAAUCGUAGAUCAGCAACGCUACGGUGAAUACGUUCCCGGGGCUUGUACACACCGCCCGUCACAUCACGAAAGUCGGUAACACCCAAAAGUCAGUGGCCCAACC